GACGAACGCUGGCGGCGUGCUUAACACAUGCAAGUCGAACGGUGAAGCUCCAGCUUGCUGGAGUGGAUCAGUGGCGAACGGGUGAGUAACACGUGAGCAACCUGCCCCUGACUCUGGAAUACGCGCUGGAAACGGCGUCUAAUACUGGAUACGAGAAGGGUCCGCAUGGGCACUUUCUGGAAAGUUUUUCGGUUGGGGAUGGGCUCGCGGCCUAUCAGCUUGUUGGUGAGGUCAUGGCUCACCAAGGCGACGACGGGUAGCCGGCCUGAGAGGGCGACCGGCCACACUGGGACUGAGACACGGCCCAGACUCCUACGGGAGGCAGCAGUGGGGAAUAUUGCACAAUGGGCGAAAGCCUGAUGCAGCGACGCCGCGUGAGGGAUGACGGCCUUCGGGUUGUAAACCUCUUUCAGCAGGGAAGAAGCGAAAGUGACGGUACCUGCAGAAGAAGCACCGGCUAACUACGUG
RNAcentral lists this ribosomal RNA (468 nucleotides) under uncultured bacterium. Its description in RNAcentral is "partial 16S ribosomal RNA". It matches the Rfam family "Bacterial small subunit ribosomal RNA", at positions 28 to 507 of the family's 1533-position model. The record is from RNAcentral.